This 454-nucleotide ribosomal RNA is filed under the name uncultured bacterium. Its description in RNAcentral is "partial 16S ribosomal RNA". It matches the Rfam family "Bacterial small subunit ribosomal RNA", at positions 28 to 507 of the family's 1533-position model. The record is from RNAcentral.
GAUGAACGCUGACAGCAUGCUUAACACAUGCAAGUCAACUUGAACUUCGGUUUGGGUGGCGGACGGGUGAGUAACGCGUAAAGAACUUGCCUCACAGAUAGGGACAACAUUUGGAAACGAAUGCUAAUACCUGAUAUUAUGAUUAUAAGGCAUCGUAUAAUUAUGAAAGCUAUAUGCGCUGUGAGAGAGCUUUGCGUCCCAUUAGCCAGUUGGAGAGGUAACGGCUCACCAAGGCGAUGAUGGGUAGCCGGCCUGAGAGGGUGAUCGGCCACAAGGGGACUGAGACACGGCCCUUACUCCUACGGGAGGCAGCAGUGGGGAAUAUUGGACAAUGGACCAAGAGUCUGAUCCAGCAAUUCUGUGUGCACGAUGAAGUUUUUCGGAAUGUAAAGUGCUUUCAGUUGGGAAGAAAAAAAUGACGGUACCAACAGAAGAAGUGACGGCUAAAUACGUG